GAGCCAGCUUCAGCCCAGCGGUUCCAUCGACCAAACGCGUUGCUUGGAAUCCGCCGAUCGCUUCCAGCGGUUUGAGACCCGCGGCGCUGCCUGGUUUUUUU
This 101-nucleotide vault RNA is filed under the name Podarcis muralis (Common wall lizard). RNAcentral describes it as "Vault RNA (ENSPMRG00000004676.1)". It matches the Rfam family "Vault RNA". Rfam says of the family: This family of RNAs are found as part of the enigmatic vault ribonucleoprotein complex. The record is from Rfam by way of RNAcentral. Lineage: Eukaryota; Metazoa; Chordata; Lepidosauria; Squamata; Lacertidae.